AUACGUAGGGUGCGAGCGUUGUCCGGAAUUACUGGGCGUAAAGAGCUCGUAGGUGGUUUGUCGCGUCGUCUGUGAAAUUCCGGGGCUUAACUCCGGGCGUGCAGGCGAUACGGGCAUAACUUGAGUACUGUAGGGGAGACUGGAAUUCCUGGUGUAGCGGUGAAAUGCGCAGAUAUCAGGAGGAACACCGGUGGCGAAGGCGGGUCUCUGGGCAUUAACUGACGCUGAGGAGCGAAAGCAUGGGUAGCGAACAGGAUUAGAUCCCCUGGUAGUCCAUGCCGUAACCGGUGGGCGCUAGGUGUAGGGGUCUUCCACGACUUCUGUGCCGUAGCUAACGCAUUAAGCGCCCCGCCUGGGGAGUACGGCCGCAAGGCUAAAACUCAAAGGAAUUGACGGGG
RNAcentral lists this ribosomal RNA (398 nucleotides) under uncultured bacterium. Its description in RNAcentral is "partial 16S ribosomal RNA". It matches the Rfam family "Bacterial small subunit ribosomal RNA", at positions 523 to 918 of the family's 1533-position model. The record is from RNAcentral.